GACGAACGCUGGCGGCGUGCCUAAUACAUGCAAGUCGAGCGGACCAAAGGGAGCUUGCUCCUGGAGGUUAGCGGCGAACGGGUGAGUAACACGUGGGCAACCUGCCUGUAAGACUGGGAUAACAUCGAGAAAUCGGUGCUAAUACCGGAUAAUAAAAAGAACUGCAUGGUUCUUUUUGAAAGAUGGUUUCGGCUAUCACUUACAGAUGGGCCCGCGGCGCAUUAGCUAGUUGGUGAGGUAACGGCUCACCAAGGCAACGAUGCGUGGCCGACCUGAGAGGGUGAUCGGCCACACUGGGACUGAGACACGGCCCAGACUCCUACGGGAGGCAGCAGUAGGGAAUCUUCCGCAAUGGACGAAAGUCUGACGGAGCAACGCCGCGUGAGUGAUGAAGGUUUUCGGAUCGUAAAACUCUGUUGUUAGGGAAGAACAAGUGCCGUUCGAAAGGCGGCACCUUGACGGUACCUAACGAGAAAGCCACGGCUAACUACGUGCCAGCAGCCGCGGUAA
Molecule: ribosomal RNA, 510 nt
Filed under: uncultured bacterium
Lineage: Bacteria
Description: bacterial SSU rRNA
Rfam family: Bacterial small subunit ribosomal RNA
Source: RNAcentral